RNAcentral lists this ribosomal RNA (517 nucleotides) under Bacillus licheniformis. Its description in RNAcentral is "bacterial SSU rRNA". It matches the Rfam family "Bacterial small subunit ribosomal RNA", at positions 103 to 604 of the family's 1533-position model. The record is from RNAcentral. Lineage: Bacteria; Bacillati; Bacillota; Bacilli; Caryophanales; Bacillaceae.
CGGGUGAGUAACACGUGGGUAACCUGCCUGUAAGACUGGGAUAACUCCGGGAAACCGGGGCUAAUACCGGAUGCUUGAUUGAACCGCAUGGUUCAAUCAUAAAAGGUGGCUUUUAGCUACCACUUACAGAUGGACCCGCGGCGCAUUAGCUAGUUGGUGAGGUAACGGCUCACCAAGGCGACGAUGCGUAGCCGACCUGAGAGGGUGAUCGGCCACACUGGGACUGAGACACGGCCCAGACUCCUACGGGAGGCAGCAGUAGGGAAUCUUCCGCAAUGGACGAAAGUCUGACGGAGCAACGCCGCGUGAGUGAUGAAGGUUUUCGGAUCGUAAAACUCUGUUGUUAGGGAAGAACAAGUACCGUUCGAAUAGGGCGGUACCUUGACGGUACCUAACCAGAAAGCCACGGCUAACUACGUGCCAGCAGCCGCGGUAAUACGUAGGUGGCAAGCGUUGUCCGGAAUUAUUGGGCGUAAAGCGCGCGCAGGCGGUUUCUUAAGUCUGAUGUGAAAGCCCC